Long non-coding RNA from Culex pipiens pallens (northern house mosquito), 285 nucleotides. RefSeq lists it as uncharacterized. The transcript has 3 exons. NCBI's taxonomy places the organism in Eukaryota, Metazoa, Arthropoda, Insecta, Diptera, Culicidae. The record is from RefSeq and is a predicted model, not a curated record.
AUUUUUUUCAAAGUCCACCACGAAAAGAUUCCGAUGUGUCAAUCCGGAAGGCGUGCUGUUGAGCGAUAGGCUCGAUGCUCAUUUACAAAGCCAGCGGUUUCAAAUUCAGGGACUUUCUGAACCAGGAAAACGGUAAAAUGCAAGAGGAAUCUGAAUUUCCAAGCAACUCAUCAAACUUCCAUCAUCCAACAUCCAAAAAGUUUUUGGCACCUCGGAUUACCAACUCCUUCAAGAACUUUUUCUUCCAGUAUGGCCAAGAUUGUGGAUUAUUUGUUGUAAAAAUAG